GAUGAACGCUAGCGGCAGGCCUAACACAUGCAAGUCGAGGGGUAACAUAGAAAAGCUUGCUUUUCUGAUGACGACCGGCGCACGGGUGCGUAACGCGUAUACAACCUACCUUUUAGCGGGGAAUAGCCCAGGGAAACUUGGAUUAAUGCCCCAUAGUAUAUAAGCUUCUCCUGAAGUUUAUAUUAAACAUUUAUGGCUAUUAGAUGGGUAUGCGUCCUAUUAGUUAGUUGGUAAGGUAACGGCUUACCAAGGCAGCGAUAGGUAGGGGUCCUGAGAGGGAGAUCCCCACACUGGUACUGAGACACGGACCAGACUCCUACGGGAGGCAGCAGUGAGGAAUAUUGGACAAUGGGCGAGAGCCUGAUCCAGCCAUGCCGCGUGCAGGAAGACUGCCCUAUGGGUUGUAAACUGCAUUUACAGAGGAAGAACCACCCCCACGUGUGGGGGUUUGACGGUACUCUGCGAAUAAGGAUCGGCUAACUCCGUG
This 487-nucleotide ribosomal RNA is filed under the name uncultured bacterium. RNAcentral describes it as "bacterial SSU rRNA". It matches the Rfam family "Bacterial small subunit ribosomal RNA", at positions 28 to 507 of the family's 1533-position model. The record is from RNAcentral.